GACGAACGCUGGCGGCGUGCUUAACACAUGCAAGUCGAGCGGUAAGGCCCUUUCGGGGGUACACGAGCGGCGAACGGGUGAGUAACACGUGGGUGACCUGCCCUCAGCUCUGGGAUAAGCCUGGGAAACUGGGUCUAAUACUGGAUAUGACUCCACGGUGCAUGUCGUGGGGUGGAAAGCCUUGUGCGGCUGAGGAUGGGCCCGCGGCCUAUCAGCUUGUUGGUGGGGUGANGGCCUACCAAGGCGACGACGGGUAGCCGGCCUGAGAGGGCGACCGGCCACACUGGGACUGAGACACGGCCCAGACUCCUACGGGAGGCAGCAGUGGGGAAGUCUUGCGCAAUGGGCGAAAGCCUGACGCAGCGACGCCGCGUGAGGGAUGACGGCC
This 388-nucleotide ribosomal RNA is filed under the name uncultured bacterium. RNAcentral's name for it is "bacterial SSU rRNA". It matches the Rfam family "Bacterial small subunit ribosomal RNA", at positions 28 to 416 of the family's 1533-position model. The record is from RNAcentral.